This 431-nucleotide ribosomal RNA is filed under the name Clostridioides difficile. RNAcentral's name for it is "bacterial SSU rRNA". It matches the Rfam family "Bacterial small subunit ribosomal RNA", at positions 1 to 439 of the family's 1533-position model. Lineage: Bacteria; Bacillati; Bacillota; Clostridia; Peptostreptococcales; Peptostreptococcaceae. The record is from RNAcentral.
UUUUAUUUGAGAGUUUGAUCCUGGCUCAGGAUGAACGCUGGCGGCGUGCCUAACACAUGCAAGUUGAGCGAUUUACUUCGGUAAAGAGCGGCGGACGGGUGAGUAACGCGUGGGUAACCUACCCUGUACACACGGAUAACAUACCGAAAGGUAUGCUAAUACGGGAUAAUAUAUUUGAGAGGCAUCUCUUGAAUAUCAAAGGUGAGCCAGUACAGGAUGGACCCGCGUCUGAUUAGCUAGUUGGUAAGGUAACGGCUUACCAAGGCGACGAUCAGUAGCCGACCUGAGAGGGUGAUCGGCCACAUUGGAACUGAGACACGGUCCAAACUCCUACGGGAGGCAGCAGUGGGGAAUAUUGCACAAUGUGCGAAAGCCUGAUGCAGCAACGCCGCGUGAGUGAUGAAGGCCUUCGGGUCGUAAAACUCUGUCCU